This 253-nucleotide ribosomal RNA is filed under the name uncultured bacterium. RNAcentral describes it as "partial 16S ribosomal RNA". It matches the Rfam family "Bacterial small subunit ribosomal RNA", at positions 524 to 776 of the family's 1533-position model. The record is from RNAcentral.
UACGGAGGGUGCAAGCGUUAAUCGGAAUUACUGGGCGUAAAGCGCACGCAGGCGGCUUGUUAAGUCAGAUGUGAAAGCCCCGGGCUCAACCCGGGAACUGCAUCUGACACUGGCAAGCUUGAGUCCCGGAGAGGUGGGUAGAAUUCCAGGUGUAGCGGUGAAAUUCGUAGAGAUCUGGAGGAAUACCGGUGGCGAAGGCGGCCCCCUGGACGAAGACUGACGCUCAGGUGCGAAAGCGUGGGGAGCAAACAGG